GGGGAUGUAUUGUUUCGAUGGGAGGCCUUAAAUUUAAAGUUAGCAAAACGAGUUUGAUAUUUGCUCGUAAACUAAAUAUCAAAGCACAUAAGUGCAGACAAAUUUUUAAGCAAAGUAAAAUCAGCCUUCGGCGGAUUUGCUUUUGCUCCUGCUAUUGCUUAAUUGCUAAAUAGCCAUCGCUCUACUUGCGCCUAGGUAGGUAAUCAGCGGUGUUAUAUUUCUAGGACAGAUAUAUUUGUCUAUUCGAACAAAUAUAUUUAAACUAUUUCGAAUGAAAUCAAAUCUGUUUUGUUCUUUUCAAAUGAUUUGAUUAAAAUAAAAGAACUACUUUUGUACACUAGCUUUGGAUUUACUUCCAGACAGGAGUUCAUUACUCCUCAUCUCCACAG
Molecule: transfer-messenger RNA, 389 nt
Filed under: Candidatus Buchananbacteria bacterium CG10_big_fil_rev_8_21_14_0_10_33_19
Lineage: Bacteria; Candidatus Buchananiibacteriota
Also listed under: 1 other name
Rfam family: transfer-messenger RNA
About the family: Bacterial tmRNA, also known as 10Sa RNA or SsrA, is named for its dual tRNA and mRNA-like properties. Its role is to liberate the mRNA from a stalled ribosome. To accomplish this part of the tmRNA is used as a reading frame that ends in a translation stop signal.
Source: RNAcentral